This 523-nucleotide ribosomal RNA is filed under the name uncultured bacterium. RNAcentral's name for it is "partial 16S ribosomal RNA". It matches the Rfam family "Bacterial small subunit ribosomal RNA", at positions 28 to 523 of the family's 1533-position model. The record is from RNAcentral.
GACGAACGCUGGCGGCGUGCCUAAUACAUGCAAGUCGAACGCUUUUUCUUUCACCGGAGCUUGCUCCACCGAAAGAAAAAGAGUGGCGAACGGGUGAGUAACACGUGGGUAACCUGCCCAUCAGAAGGGGAUAACACUUGGAAACAGGUGCUAAUACCGUAUAACACUAUUUUCCGCAUGGAAGAAAGUUGAAAGGCGCUUUUGCGUCACUGAUGGAUGGACCCGCGGUGCAUUAGCUAGUUGGUGAGGUAACGGCUCACCAAGGCAACGAUGCAUAGGCGACCUGAGAGGGUGAUCGGCCACACUGGGACUGAGACACGGCCCAGACUCCUACGGGAGGCAGCAGUAGGGAAUCUUCGGCAAUGGACGAAAGUCUGACCGAGCAACGCCGCGUGAGUGAAGAAGGUUUUCGGAUCGUAAAACUCUGUUGUUAGAGAAGAACAAGGAUGAGUGUAAAAUGUUCAUCCCUUGACGGUAUCUAACCAGAAAGCCACGGCUAACUACGUGCCAGCCGCCGCCGUAA